AUGCAGGAGAGGUGCAGCGCGGGGCUCGGGGCUCCGACGAGCUGGGUGCGGCGUGACGGACGACGACGGACGCAGGGACGCGUUGAUCCGGGCGCUGGUGCUCAAUCCGGUCCCGUUCCGGCCGGAUCCACGGCGGUGCUCAUCUCCGGCGAGGUGGCCGGGGUGGCGGGGGUCCAGCAUCAUGGAGGCUCUUCGAGGGCGAGGAAGCAUACGGCGACGACAACUUUGAGGCCGGCGGGGGCACCGUCUUCGCGUUCGAUGGUCGUAGUGAACGUCGUGGGCUCCAACGCGGCCGCCGUUGGCUCUAUCCCCUACAGUCCAUAG
Molecule: ribosomal RNA, 324 nt
Filed under: Triticum aestivum (bread wheat)
Lineage: Eukaryota; Viridiplantae; Streptophyta; Magnoliopsida; Poales; Poaceae
Description: partial small subunit ribosomal RNA
Source: RNAcentral